GACGAACGCUGGCGGCGUGCUUAACACAUGCAAGUCGAGCGGUAAGGCCCUUCGGGGUACACGAGCGGCGAACGGGUGAGUAACACGUGAGUAAUCUGCCCAUCACUUCGGGAUAACUCCGGGAAACCGGUGCUAAUACCGAAUAUGACCACUUCAGGCAUCUGAUGGUGGUGGAAAGUUCCGGCGGUGAUGGAUGAGCUCGCGGCCUAUCAGCUUGUUGGUGGGGUAGUGGCCUACCAAGGCUUCGACGGGUAGCCGGCCUGAGAGGGUGACCGGCCACACUGGGACUGAGACACGGCCCAGACUCCUACGGGAGGCAGCAGUGGGGAAUAUUGGACAAUGGGCGAAAGCCUGAUCCAGCAACGCCGCGUGAGGGAUGACGGCCUUCGGGUUGUAAACCUCUUUCAGCAGGGACGAAGCGAAAGUGACGGUACCUGCAGAAGAAGCACCGGCCAACUACGUG
Molecule: ribosomal RNA, 463 nt
Filed under: uncultured bacterium
Lineage: Bacteria
Description: partial 16S ribosomal RNA
Rfam family: Bacterial small subunit ribosomal RNA
Source: RNAcentral